RNAcentral lists this unclassified non-coding RNA (433 nucleotides) under soil metagenome. RNAcentral's name for it is "partial contains 5.8S ribosomal RNA, internal transcribed spacer 2, and large subunit ribosomal RNA". The stretch from base 1 to 120 matches the Rfam family "5.8S ribosomal RNA", at positions 35 to 154 of the family's 154-position model. The record is from RNAcentral.
GAUGAAGAACGCAGUGAAAUGCGAUACGUAAUGUGAAUUGCAGAAUUCAGUGAAUCAUCGAAUCUUUGAACGCAUAUUGCGCUCUCUGGUAUUCCGGAGAGCAUGCUUGUUUGAGUAUCAGUAAACACCUCAACUUCCAUAUCUUUUUUGAAAUGGGAGUUGGACUUGAGUGAUCCCAACGCUUUUCCUCACCGAAAAGUGGCGGGUUACUUGAAAUGCAGGUGCAGCUGGACUUUUCUCUGAGCUAUAAGCAUAUCUAUUUAGUCUGCCUAAAAAACAGAUUAUUACCUUUGCUGCAGCUAACAUAAAGGAGAUUAGUUCUUGUGCUGACUGAUGCAGGAUUCACAAAGACAGGCUUCGGCCGACUUUGUAAACUCGAUCUCAAAUCAAGUAAGACUACCCGCUGAACUUAAGCAUAUCAAUAAGCGGAGGA